RNAcentral lists this ribosomal RNA (450 nucleotides) under uncultured bacterium. RNAcentral describes it as "bacterial SSU rRNA". It matches the Rfam family "Bacterial small subunit ribosomal RNA", at positions 29 to 524 of the family's 1533-position model. The record is from RNAcentral.
AACGAACGCUGGCGGCAUGCCUAACACAUGCAAGUCGAACGAGACCUUCGGGUCUAGUGGCGCACGGGUGCGUAACGCGUGGGAAUCUGCCCUUUGCUUCGGAAUAACAGUUAGAAAUGACUGCUAAUACCGGAUGAUGUCUUCGGACCAAAGAUUUAUCGGCAAAGGAUGAGCCCGCGUAGGAUUAGGUAGUUGGUGGGGUAAAGGCCUACCAAGCCGACGAUCCUUAGCUGGUCUGAGAGGAUGAUCAGCCACACUGGGACUGAGACACGGCCCAGACUCCUACGGGAGGCAGCAGUGGGGAAUAUUGGACAAUGGGGGCAACCCUGAUCCAGCAAUGCCGCGUGAGUGAUGAAGGCCUUAGGGUUGUAAAGCUCUUUUGCCAGGGAAGAUGAUGACUGUACCUGGAGAAUAAGCCCCGGCUAACUUCGUGCCAGCAGCCGCGGUAAU